UAGGGAAUAUUGCACCAUGGACGAAAGUCUGAUGCAGCAACGCCGCGUGAGUGAUGAAGGCCUUCGGGUCGUAAAACUCUUUUCAAGGGGAAGAGGAAGGACGGUACCCUUGGAAUAAGCAUCGGCUAACUACGUGCCAGCAGCCGCGGUAACACGUAGGAUGCAAGCGUUAUUCGGAUUUACUGGGCGUAAAGCGCGUGUAGGCGGUUAGGAUAGUUGGAUGUGAAAGCUCCCGGCUUAACUGGGAGAGGUCGUUCAAAACUUCCUGACUAGAGUUUGGUAGAGGAAAAUGGAAUUCCGGGUGUAGUGGUGAAAUGCGUAGAUAUCCGGAGGAACACCAGUGGCGAAAGCGAUUUUCUGGACCGAUACUGACGCUCAGACGCGAAAGCUAGGGUAGCAAACG
RNAcentral lists this ribosomal RNA (403 nucleotides) under uncultured bacterium. Its description in RNAcentral is "bacterial SSU rRNA". It matches the Rfam family "Bacterial small subunit ribosomal RNA", at positions 355 to 774 of the family's 1533-position model. The record is from RNAcentral.